CAAUAGUUCUAUUAGAUAAUUUCUUAAGUUUCUUAAACCAAGCUUGCUUGAAAUACGCACGCGUUUCACAGUCAUCUCCAACCCAUCCAUCACAGCAACUAUAGUGUGUUGCAGAGCUAUAAUUGAGAAUUAAUAUGUUUAAUUUUACGAGGACAUGUUUGGCUAGAUAAUUAUUAUUAUUCAAAUUACUAACAACAGGUAAAAUGUAUUCGCUUUCACUGUUGUGCAACUUCAAAUAAUUAUGAGCCACUGCAACAUCCCUAAUAAAAUUAAGCCAGCAUUUUAGAAAAGAAUGUAUUUUUUAACAAAUAAGUACUUACGUUGUGUGACAAUCUCCGAAAAUUCCAAAUAACCAUGUGCAAGUUCUCCAGUAUGUGCGGUGACUGCAAUGACGUGAUCUGAGUUCAAACCGGAUGGGAAUCAGCCAUAGAGUGUAAAGGCAUAAGAGAGCUUGACUGCAACAGAUACAGGUCGAGCACGGACGAAAGUCAGCCUUAGUGAUCCGACGGCACUGA
Molecule: ribosomal RNA, 515 nt
Filed under: Ficopomatus enigmaticus
Lineage: Eukaryota; Metazoa; Annelida; Polychaeta; Sabellida; Serpulidae
Description: partial 16S ribosomal RNA
Source: RNAcentral